CCCCCCUCAGGAUCACACCUGGAGAGUUUCCAAUACUCUACAGGUCUUGGCUUCAGGAGGGAGAGUCAAGCAGAGGUGUACCCAUUCCAAUCCUACCUUGGUCAGUGGCUAGCGAGUGGAAGGCAAUCUGCUACAAGC
This is a small nucleolar RNA of Tachyglossus aculeatus (Australian echidna), 138 nucleotides long. The record is from RefSeq and is a predicted model, not a curated record. NCBI's taxonomy places the organism in Eukaryota, Metazoa, Chordata, Mammalia, Monotremata, Tachyglossidae.